Molecule: long non-coding RNA, 1172 nt
Organism: Arachis duranensis
Lineage: Eukaryota; Viridiplantae; Streptophyta; Magnoliopsida; Fabales; Fabaceae
Exons: 3
Source: RefSeq, a predicted model, not a curated record
UUAACAGUGAAAUGGUGAAAUAAUUUGCUGCGAGUUAAACCCUGUGACCCUUAGAAGCCACGCCCGCCCAACCUUCUUUCUUUCUUCUCUUCUUCUCUGAAACCCAGCCCAGCCCGCAGACCUCCACACCAACCUUCCGUCCGUCCGUCCGUUCCAACCGCCGGCGACCACCGUCGCUAACCCUCCCUCCUCCCUUCUUCCUUUUCUUUCUUCCCUAUUUCUCCAUUUCUUUCCUCCUGUACGCAACACCCCUGUUCGUGGCGCCACCUCUGUCUGCACCUUCCAUUUCCGGUGAAAACCACCAGCGGCGGCGAAACUCUGUGCCGCUACGACACUACCUCCGCUCCUUACGCUAUCUUCUUUUUUCACUCCUCAACGCAGUUGUUGAACAUAAAUGAUCAUAUACUCUUCCGACACCCUUGAACCGAAGCACAAGCAGUCACCAAGAAACGUGGAAUGGUAAGUAUUGUAUUCCAUUCAUUACGAUUAAUCACAUGAAACCUUACCAGUUACCAAUUAUGAACGCGAGUGUGAUUCAGAAGAGAGACGAGAGGAUGUUUCGGUUGAGUAAGAACAAGGCUUCUUCGAAAUCUGCAGCUGAUACAAGAUUUGAGUUCUGAUUCUCUCAUUUUAAGGCUCUUCAGGUACCCAAGGGAUGGGAAGCUGCUUGUUUCUGUUGUUUCGGUAGAAAGUGGUAAAGCUAUUGCAAAGUCAAGCAAGGUGCUGGUGCAAAAUGGGAGUUGUCAGUGGUCAGAUUCUUUUUCAGAAUUUGUAUUGUUUCCAGGAGAUAAUUCUUCCAAGGAGAUUGAUGAAUGUCUCCUCAAGCUUAUUGUUGCCAUGGUGCUGAUACUAUUGCUGUUUGCUUUUCCUAUUGUGUAUACUCUACUUUGUAGUUAAGAUGUUUCUUUAUCAGUUAGAAGUUUGUUUGAAUUAUGAUGUGGCUUAACAGGGACCAUCAAGAUCUAGUAUCCUUGGAGAGGUCACUGUUAAUAUGGCAAGUUAUGUGAGUUCAAAUGCUGAAUCUGCACUUUCACUCAAGCUGGGUAAGUGGCAACCAUGGGACAGUUUUACAUGUCAGAUAUACAAAUAAAGUUGUCGUACUUUUAUUGAGUGCAGAAACCUGGAUGGUUGUGUUACUGUGGUUGGUUACGCUCGGAUUUAAUUGUAGUCAA